This 467-nucleotide ribosomal RNA is filed under the name uncultured bacterium. RNAcentral describes it as "partial 16S ribosomal RNA". It matches the Rfam family "Bacterial small subunit ribosomal RNA", at positions 28 to 507 of the family's 1533-position model. The record is from RNAcentral.
GAUGAACGCUGGCGGAAUGCUUAACACAUGCAAGUCAACCGGAAGCUGGGUUUUUAACUUCGGUUUGGGUGGCGGACGGGUGAGUAAGUCGUAAAUAACUUGCCUCACAGCUAUGGACAACAUUUGGAAACGAAAGCUAAUACCUAAUACUAUAAUAAUAGUACAUCCUAAAAUUAGGAAAGCUAUAAGCUCUGUGAGAGAGCUUUGCGGUACAUGAGCUAGUUGGUGAGGUAACGGCUCACCAAGGCGAGGAUGGGUAGCCGGCCUGAGAGGGUGAUCGGCUACAAGGGGCUUGGGACACCGCCCUUAGGCAUUCGUGCGGAAGGGGUGGGAACUUGUGCCAGCCAGACCGCGUGUCUGAUGCAGCCCUUCUGUGUGUAAGAUGAUGUUUUUCGGAAUGAAAAGUGCUUUCAGUUGGGCAGAAACUUCUGACGGUACCAAAAGAAGAAGUGACGGCUAACUACGUG